GCGGGCGUAGUUCAAUGGCAGAACUUCAGCCUUCCAAGCUGAUAGAGUGGGUUCGAUUCCCAUCGCCCGCU
This 71-nucleotide transfer RNA is filed under the name Coxiellaceae bacterium. RNAcentral describes it as "tRNA-Gly". It matches the Rfam family "tRNA". From Rfam's summary of the family: Transfer RNA (tRNA) molecules are approximately 80 nucleotides in length. Their secondary structure includes four short double-helical elements and three loops (D, anti-codon, and T loops). Lineage: Bacteria; Pseudomonadati; Pseudomonadota; Gammaproteobacteria; Legionellales; Coxiellaceae. The record is from RNAcentral.